AUGCAAGAUAUCAAAAGAGAUGAAGCGCUUAGGAAGAUUCAUUGGACAAUAUUGCUACCCACGGCUUAUGCUACUGGAUAACAUUGCCAUCCACAGCUUGUGAAAAGUGUUUAGACAGAGACUGUACAAUAUUGUCUUUAGACAAGUCUUAACCAAGUCGAUUUUUAGUUUGUUGGAUGGUAAAAACGACCAAAAGCACCAAGAACCAAAAAUUGAGUCGGUGUUUGGCGUGUUGGAUGAUAAAAACGACCAAUGGCAAACCAAAUCCUAAGACAUAAACUACGAACAAAAAUUGAGUCGGUUCUUGACUUGUUGGAUGAUAAAAAUGACCAACAGGUCUUGAGUCAGAGACUAUGAACCGAAAAUUGAUUCCUCACUUCACCACUUUACCACUUACAUCGUAAAAAUUCACAAGGUAAGUAUGAGUCAUUUUGCGUGAACUAAAGUCUAAGUAAUUGUGAUUUCCUCAGGUUUUAUGUGCUUAUAAGGACUCAGAGAAGAUAUCAAGUGUAGCUGAUUGUUUGACAGGUAUGUGCUUUUCAAACUUGUUUGUUAUUUAGUUAAUACAAUUUUAUGAAAAUCACAUGAAGUGACACAUACAUGAAGUGAAGGCUAUAUUUUCGUUUGUGUAGGUAUGUGCUUUAUAAGGAUUUUCAGGUAUAUUCUUUUCUUUACUUUCUCUCUCUUAAAUUGGUAUUAUUACAUCUAUUAUAAUUUACAAACUACGUUAAGUGAUAUAUGUAAAGGUAAUGAAAUUAGAAAGGAAGAUCUUAGCUCCGUUUAUAACUAAAAAUGUUUUAUUAAGCUGUCUUGACAACAUUUCUCUCAUUUAUCUAGCAUCCUUAGGUUCUAGAAACUGAUUGCUUACAUAUCUGUUGAUGAACAAGUAGAUUCUUUUAACUAGUGGAACAGUAUAUUGUGCGUUUACAGGGUUUGGUAAUCUAUAUUAUCUUUAGUUUGGUGCUUGUAUGUAUUAUAAUGUCUCUUAUUUUGUGAUGGAGUCUUGUAGAUCAACAUAGGUGAGAGACUCUAGCAUGUUGUUGUAGUAGGCUUUCUUAGUUGGGUGUCUUUUUUUGCACAAACUUGAGAUGUCAAACUUGCCAAUGCAGGUACCCUAGAACAGAGGAAUGCAUGAAAAGAGACGUAUUUGACUGACCGGCAGGAGGAAGAGUGAGCAUCACUCACUACGUGUACAUACAAAUAAGACAUGUAAGGGACCAAAUUGCUCUGCCAGAGGUUAGAAAAAGCCACCAAAUUGUAAAAAAUUGCUUGAUAAAAACUUUAUGAGUACAAAGGCUAAAUAUGGUCAUAGAAGUGUAUUAUAUUUUGCAAACAGUGAUUUCUUGCAUUUUAACAGAAAUCUUUAUCUUUUGGUCGUUGCCUAAGUAAUAAUUGACGCUCACAUGUAUUCGUUGAAGUUGUGCAAGUUUUAAUAAAAAAUACAAUUAUAGUUGUACUAUUCUCUGUUAUACAUCUUUCGAUGACCCCAUUCAUAAAGCUGAAUCAUUUUGCUCUCACACAAAUCUUAUCUUCUCUCCUAAUAACUAAUACUCGUUUGGUAACAGCUUCACAAAUUUAUCUUUUUACUCAUCCUCGAAUGUUUUUUUUUUCUUUUCUGUAUCUCUGCAACGAUGGGUGGUUGCUUCUCCGUAUCGAUGUCAUGCGAUCAAGUUGUGAAUCAAGUCACUCAAUGGUUUUGUGUCAAAGAGAGCUAUAUUCAUAACCUCGAGGAGAAUCUCACUGCUUUGGAGACAGCUGUUGAAGAGCUGAAGGCAAUGCAAGAUAAUUUGUCAAGAAGGGUGGAGAGAGAGGAGGAUAAAGGUCUACGGAGGCUUUCCCAAGUUCAGUAAAGUACGCAGCAGUAAUGCGGGAUCGAAUCCACAGGGACCGAUGAUCACACGUAGAGUUGCAGACAAGUUAAUAGCUACAGCGAACGAAGAUAUAUUUUUGAUGGUUUUUAUUUAAUUUUCUUUAGUGUCACAAACAUAAACAAGCUGUAAAAAGAUGAUUUAAACGAUUUGAAAACUAUUUUAAAACAAACGUUGGGCAUUGGGAAUUCUCAGGGAUUUCUUUUUAAUCAAGAUACAAUUAAUGGCAGACACAGAGAUAUAUUAAGAACCGUCUAGAACUCAAACACGAUAUUAGAAUUAACCUACUUCCGUAGCGCUAAUUCUCUAUGUUAUAGAAAUCUCCACACUAACUUCCGCUGAGUUUCAAUUUCUAAACAAGCAUUAAGAACAGGUUCAAUAUGUUCACAAAGCGCAAUAACAUCAACUUCCGAGGGUUAAGGACACUUUGCUCAUCUAAAGUAUUUUCGGAAGUUCAAACAAUCACUUUCGGUGCAUCAAACAAUCUGAUAUCAUGAACUAAGUGAUCAAUUCAGUUCAAGCAGUAAGAAAUCCAUUAGAUGAAGAACCAAAACGUAAUCCCUUAGUCUACACACGUUUUAUGAAUCAAAACAUCAAGAAAUCCCCUAUUAGAACCCCUAAACCCAACUAGAUGACUACUCACACAUAACUAAACAAGAACAACACGAUUUUGAUGAAGAAAACAUGAUAAGAUUGUAUUAAAACAGAGUAAAGGUUCAGAAGAUCUUCUCCAAAUGGUUUUGAGAUGAACUCCUUUACAAAUCUUCACAAAUCACACAAAACAAGUACAAAACUCUCAAAUCUCUCUCAAGAACUUGUAAAUCUCCUUCUUGGUCGCCCCUGGUCUUUUCUGAGUCCCAAAGGUCGAGUUCUUCUGUUAAUUAUUGAGGGGAGUGGGUAAAAAGGAGUGAAAAGCUCGUUUGUGCGUGUGGAGCCCGUAGAGCGUGGGAUCGGUCGAUCCACAUGGACCGGAUCGGUCGAUCUAGUGCAUGUAAGCGUGGGAUCGGUCGAUCCACAUGGACCGGAUCGGUCGAUCUCACGUCCUGUGCGAUCAAUACUUCUCAUUCGGUCCAUUGUUCGGUCCAUCUUGCUUCUGAAUAAAUCUCGAAUGCGUUCUUUUCUUGCAAGCUAUCUAGUAACCUGCAUAUUACACUUAAGAACACCAAAACGCAUCAAAUAGACCAAAACAUUAAUUAAAACCGACCAUUUAAUUUCUCCAAAACGAGUUUAAAACCGCUAAAAACACGGAAUAUCAACUCCCCCAGACUUGAAUCUUUGCUUGUCCUCAAGUAAAGAGGAUUAAAAUUUGGGAGCUCACUAACCCUCAGUAGACCUUACCUUGUGAUUUCGCUAACCACUUAAAUCAGAGACUGUCAAGGCAUUCAUUCCAAAUCCCCACCAAGACCGCGCAAACCUUUCCAUAUUUCAGACCUGCAAGUCUCAGUUUCAAGUAAUCAACUCUUUACAUUCAUUAAAAAGGGCGUGACCUUUCCACCAAAGAUAUCUCCAUCAGGUAUAACGGGCUCGGUGUUUGGGAGGCUGUUUUAGUGUUUAAUUAGGUGAGGCUCAAGUGUUUGUGGGUAUCAGCGAUAACAAAAAAUGCAAAACAUUAUGCAAAAUCGCUGGAGAAACCAAGUAUAUUGAUAACCACGUUUUCGAACUGCUCAAGUCUCAAAUGAUCAAAACCCAACAAAUCUCAAACUCUAACCCCAAAUUUAAACAACGCAUCAUCUCUGGUACACAAAAUAAAAAUAAAAUGUCUAAAUCAAAUCUACUGAAUGAGAUAUAAACAUGAACUCUUUUUUUUUUUUUUUUUUUUUUUUUUUUUUUU
Long non-coding RNA from Brassica napus (rape), 3699 nucleotides. RefSeq lists it as uncharacterized. The transcript is spliced from 2 exons. The record is from RefSeq and is a predicted model, not a curated record. Lineage: Eukaryota; Viridiplantae; Streptophyta; Magnoliopsida; Brassicales; Brassicaceae.